CCCAUGGUUCAUGAAUCCAAACAAACAUAGGGACUUGUAUAAUCUAAGAGUUCCUGGAAUCACAGUAAUUGGUUGUCAACAAACAAAAGUAACAACCAGUUUCCGAAACCCCACUAUGUAUUAGUAAACAUAUGGUUGUCACAUAAAAAUGUCUUCAUCCAAGGAAAUCAAAAACAAUAUUUAUGGUUUCUUGUUACGACCACGUCACUAAUACAACACAUACAUCAAGUACUCCAACCCUAAUGGGGAAAUGACACACUAUCUUCCCAUGAAAGGUUAUGUGUAGGUCAAAAAGAAAAGAAAAGAAUUCAUGGUUUCUUCAAUGACAAAUUCAUUUGAAGCAAGUGGAAAACUGGUAAAGCUUUGGAGCCUUGCACAAGGUUGGAACUUUAAAGCCUCACAUUCCCAAACAAUCUUAAGGAGGGCCAACAUAAUUGAAACCAAGAAGAACUAAGCAAUAGAUCAGCUAGAGAGCAAUACCUGCACUGGCCAAUGAUGACACAGUGGCAUGUUUGGGAAUAAUUAUGAAAGGUUCCUAUUCAUAUUCACACGGUGCGUGUUUCAACAAUAAUUCUGCCCCUGAUAGAAACAAUUUUAGCGAGUGAGCACUUCCUGUCAAUGUAUCUCCCUGAAAUGAAAUAAGUUAAUAAUCAGAUUUCAUCCUCCCUAGAAUGGAGCAAAUUAAUAAUUUGAUUACAUUCUUAUAAGCAACAUAUUGCCUAAAUACUCCAUAGAGGUUACUGACAAGUAAACAACAUAAGCCACAUGCAUC
This 772-nucleotide long non-coding RNA is filed under the name Triticum aestivum (bread wheat). Its description in RNAcentral is "long non-coding RNA (TAES_LNC013675)". Lineage: Eukaryota; Viridiplantae; Streptophyta; Magnoliopsida; Poales; Poaceae. The record is from RNAcentral.